Molecule: ribosomal RNA, 522 nt
Filed under: uncultured bacterium
Lineage: Bacteria
Description: bacterial SSU rRNA
Rfam family: Bacterial small subunit ribosomal RNA
Source: RNAcentral
AAUAGAUACCCGGGUAGUCCACGCCCUAAACGAUGCAUAUUUGGUGUAGGUCAUUCAGUUGAUCUGUGCCGGAGCUAACGCGUUAAAUAUGCCGCCUGGGGAGUACAGUCGCAAGGCUGAAACUCAAAGGAAUUGACGGGGGCCCGCACAAGCGGUGGAGCAUGUGGUUCAAUUCGACGCAACGCGAAGAACCUUACCUGGGCUCGAACGGCUGGUCAACGAUCGUGGAAACACGGUUACUCCGCAAGGAGGUCCAGUCGAGGUGCUGCAUGGCUGUCGUCAGCUCGUGUCGUGAGAUGUUGGGUUAAGUCCCGCAACGAGCGCAACCCUUGUCCUGUGUUGCCAUCCCGCAAGGGGGGACUCGCAGGAGACCGCCAGCGAUAAGCUGGAGGAAGGUGGGGAUGACGUCAAGUCCUCAUGGCCUUUAUGUCCAGGGCUACACACGUGCUACAAUGGCCGGUACAAAGCGCAGCUAAGUCGCGAGACGGAGCCAAUCGCAAAAAACCGGUCUCAGUUCGGAUU